This 935-nucleotide ribosomal RNA is filed under the name Klebsiella sp. MR13. RNAcentral describes it as "bacterial SSU rRNA". It matches the Rfam family "Bacterial small subunit ribosomal RNA", at positions 545 to 1480 of the family's 1533-position model. Lineage: Bacteria; Pseudomonadati; Pseudomonadota; Gammaproteobacteria; Enterobacterales; Enterobacteriaceae. The record is from RNAcentral.
UCGGAAUUACUGGGCGUAAAGCGCACGCAGGCGGUCUGUCAAGUCGGAUGUGAAAUCCCCGGGCUCAACCUGGGAACUGCAUUCGAAACUGGCAGGCUAGAGUCUUGUAGAGGGGGGUAGAAUUCCAGGUGUAGCGGUGAAAUGCGUAGAGAUCUGGAGGAAUACCGGUGGCGAAGGCGGCCCCCUGGACAAAGACUGACGCUCAGGUGCGAAAGCGUGGGGAGCAAACAGGAUUAGAUACCCUGGUAGUCCACGCCGUAAACGAUGUCGAUUUGGAGGUUGUGCCCUUGAGGCGUGGCUUCCGGAGCUAACGCGUUAAAUCGACCGCCUGGGGAGUACGGCCGCAAGGUUAAAACUCAAAUGAAUUGACGGGGGCCCGCACAAGCGGUGGAGCAUGUGGUUUAAUUCGAUGCAACGCGAAGAACCUUACCUGGUCUUGACAUCCACAGAACUUUCCAGAGAUGGAUUGGUGCCUUCGGGAACUGUGAGACAGGUGCUGCAUGGCUGUCGUCAGCUCGUGUUGUGAAAUGUUGGGUUAAGUCCCGCAACGAGCGCAACCCUUAUCCUUUGUUGCCAGCGGUUAGGCCGGGAACUCAAAGGAGACUGCCAGUGAUAAACUGGAGGAAGGUGGGGAUGACGUCAAGUCAUCAUGGCCCUUACGACCAGGGCUACACACGUGCUACAAUGGCAUAUACAAAGAGAAGCGACCUCGCGAGAGCAAGCGGACCUCAUAAAGUAUGUCGUAGUCCGGAUUGGAGUCUGCAACUCGACUCCAUGAAGUCGGAAUCGCUAGUAAUCGUAGAUCAGAAUGCUACGGUGAAUACGUUCCCGGGCCUUGUACACACCGCCCGUCACACCAUGGGAGUGGGUUGCAAAAGAAGUAGGUAGCUUAACCUUCGGGAGGGCGCUUACCACUUUGUGAUUCAUGACUGGGG